Molecule: ribosomal RNA, 461 nt
Filed under: uncultured bacterium
Lineage: Bacteria
Description: bacterial SSU rRNA
Rfam family: Bacterial small subunit ribosomal RNA
Source: RNAcentral
AGACUCUACGAGUUUGAUCCUGGCUCAGAACGAACGCUGGCGGCAUGCCUAACACAUGCAAGUCGAACGAACCCUUCGGGGUUAGUGGCGCACGGGUGCGUAACGCGUGGGGAUCUGCCCAAAGGUUCGGAAUAACUCAGAGAAAUUUGAGCUAAUACCGGAUAAUGUCUUCGGACCAAAGAUUUAUUGCCUUUGGAUGAACCCGCGUAGGAUUAGCUUGUUGGUGGGGUAAAGGCCUACCAAGGCGACGAUCCUUAGCUGGUCUGAGAGGAUGAUCAGCCACACUGGGACUGAGACACGGCCCAGACUCCUACGGGAGGCAGCAGUGGGGAAUAUUGGACAAUGGGCGAAAGCCUGAUCCAGCAAUGCCGCGUGAGUGAUGAAGGCCUUAGGGUUGUAAAGCUCUUUUACCAGGGAUGAUAAUGACAGUACCCGGAGAAUAAGCUCCGGCUAACUCCGUG